CCUACGGGAGGCAGCAGUGGGGAAUUUUGGACAAUGGGCGCAAGCCUGAUCCAGCCAUGCCGCGUGUGGGAAGAAGGCCUUCGGGUUGUAAACCACUUUUGUCAGGGAAGAAACGGCUUUUUCUAAUACAGAGAGCUAAUGACGGUACCUGAAGAAUAAGCACCGGCUAACUACGUGCCAGCAGCCGCGGUAAUACGUAGGGUGCAAGCGUUAAUCGGAAUUACUGGGCGUAAAGCGUGCGCAGGCGGCUUUGCAAGACAGAUGUGAAAUCCCCGGGCUCAACCUGGGAACUGCAUUUGUGACUGCAUGGCUAGAGUACGGUAGAGGGGGAUGGAAUUCCGCGUGUAGCAGUGAAAUGCGUAGAUAUGCGGAGGAACACCGAUGGCGAAGGCAGGUUACUGGUACGCAACUGACGCUGAGGCACGAAAGCGUGGGGAGCAAACAGGAUUAGAUACCCUGGUAGUCCACGCCGUAAACGAUAGAGCACUAGUUAGUAGUGCGACGCUACGUGUUGUCAGCCGCAGAAAUUAAAUUAAGUAGCGUCCGCCGGGGACGGUAGUGGUCGCGAGGCGUGAAACGUACGAAAGGAAGUUAGUACGGACGUAGAGACGNGCCGACGGACGACGACGAGGGGAGGAGG
RNAcentral lists this ribosomal RNA (640 nucleotides) under uncultured bacterium. RNAcentral's name for it is "bacterial SSU rRNA". The stretch from base 1 to 548 matches the Rfam family "Bacterial small subunit ribosomal RNA", at positions 338 to 873 of the family's 1533-position model. The record is from RNAcentral.